RNAcentral lists this microRNA precursor (108 nucleotides) under Canis lupus familiaris (dog). Its description in RNAcentral is "mir-8834 microRNA precursor family". It matches the Rfam family "mir-8834 microRNA precursor family". The record is from Rfam by way of RNAcentral. Lineage: Eukaryota; Metazoa; Chordata; Mammalia; Carnivora; Canidae.
AGGAGGAACAACCCCACUGGCUGCGGCCAGCUCUCCAGCCCUGGAGUCAGUUCCCGCAGUAACUACCGCAGCUCCCAGUCCGCAGGGGCCUGGAUGCUCCCGGGAGCG